CCCGCUGAACUUAAGCAUAUCAAUAAGCGGAGGAAAAGAAACCAACAGGGAUUCCCUUAGUAACGGCGAGUGAAGCGGGAAAAGCUCAAAUUUAAAAUCUCCUAGGUUCCCUAGGCGAAUUGUAGUUUCAAGAAGCGUUUUCUGAGGUGGCCUCGGUCCAAGUCUGCUGGAAGGCAGCGCCAUAGAGGGUGAUAGCCCCGUAGGAUCCUGAACCAUUUCUUUAUGAUUGCGUCUUCAAAGAGUCGUACAGUUUGAGAAUGCUGUGCUAAAUGGGAGGUAAAUAUCUUCUAAAGCUAAAUAUUGGCGUGAGACCGAUAGCGAACAAGUACCGUGAGGGAAAGAUGAAAAGAACUUUGAAAAGAGAGUUAAAUAGUACGUGAAAUUGUUGAAAGGGAAACGUUUGACACCAGUCAUGUGGGUGGAAAAUCAGUCUUUUGCAUUGGGGAGUUGUAAAGGUUCGGACCGCAAGGCCGGCUUUUGCUUCAUCUUUGGUGUAAGGGAUGCACUUUUUCAUCUACAGGUCAACAUCAGUUUCUUUUGCUGGACAAAACUCCGAGAGAAGGUAGCAGCUUAGGCUGUGUUAUAGCUCUGGAGCGAUACAGUGAAGGGGACUGAGGUUUUCGCAGCGUGUGCUCUCGGGCAAGGCUGGAUGGGUGCUAUGGGAUCGUUCGGGGUACAAUGCCUGGCAUUUUGCUUCGUGUCUUUUCUAUACUCGCUCAACUCAGCUCUUCCACGCUUAGGAUGUUGACUUAAUGGUUUUAAACGACCCGUCUUGAAACACGG
This 783-nucleotide ribosomal RNA is filed under the name uncultured fungus. Its description in RNAcentral is "eukaryotic LSU rRNA". It matches the Rfam family "Eukaryotic large subunit ribosomal RNA", at positions 24 to 664 of the family's 3401-position model. The record is from RNAcentral. Lineage: Eukaryota; Fungi.